Molecule: ribosomal RNA, 448 nt
Filed under: uncultured soil bacterium
Lineage: Bacteria
Description: bacterial SSU rRNA
Rfam family: Bacterial small subunit ribosomal RNA
Source: RNAcentral
AGAACGAACGCUGGCGGCAUGCCUAAUACAUGCAAGUCGAACGAAGGCUUCGGCCUUAGUGGCGCACGGGUGCGUAACGCGUGGGAAUCUGCCCCUUGGUUCGGAAUAACAGUUGGAAACGACUGCUAAUACCGGAUGAUGACGAAAGUCCAAAGAUUUAUCGCCAAGGGAUGGGCCCGCGUAGGAUUAGCUAGUUGGUGAGGUAAAGGCUCACCAAGGCGACGAUCCUUAGCUGGUCUGAGAGGAUGAUCAGCCACACUGGGACUGAGACACGGCCCAGACUCCUACGGGAGGCAGCAGUAGGGAAUAGUUGGACAACGGGCGAAAGCCUGAUCCAGCAAGUGCCGCGUGAGUGAUGAAGGCUUAGGUGUAAGCUCUUUACCGAGAUGAUAAUGACAGUAGUCGGAGAAGUAACGCCCGACUAACCGUCCGUGCCGAGCCAGCCGAC